This 240-nucleotide long non-coding RNA is filed under the name Elaeis guineensis (African oil palm). RNAcentral describes it as "long non-coding RNA (EGUI_LNC056644)". Lineage: Eukaryota; Viridiplantae; Streptophyta; Magnoliopsida; Arecales; Arecaceae. The record is from RNAcentral.
GGCUCUCUUCCUCUUUUUUUUUAAAGAUUCCCUAAAGAUCUGAGAGAGAGAAAUGAAGUUUGGAUGAAGCAACCACAACUCUACUAAUUAGCCCUAACAAAAGUCCCAUAACUCCCAGCCUAGCCCUCCAUAGUCUCCAACUUUGCAAUUGGCUUUCAAAGCAAUAAUUGUGAGCAAUUUAAUAUGCUCAUCCAACGAAUAUAGAACUAGCAAAUGACCAUUGCAUAACCAGCUUGACAA